RNAcentral lists this unclassified non-coding RNA (2553 nucleotides) under Hevea brasiliensis (rubber tree). Lineage: Eukaryota; Viridiplantae; Streptophyta; Magnoliopsida; Malpighiales; Euphorbiaceae. The record is from RNAcentral.
AAAAAAAUAAAAAAAAAAAAAGAAGAAAAAUCUGAAUAUCAAACAAAGCUGAGCUUAGGUCAGGAUCUUGAGGAAAAGAAAAACACAAGCGUGGACUUUUCUAAAAAAAUAAAAUAAAACCUACAAUCCAUUUUGUCAAAACUAAAUAAUUGCAGAAAUAAAGAGAAAAAGACAAAGCACAUCGCAAUAAUCGAGCAAAGAUAAAGAAACAAAGGGUAUAAACUUAUUGAUUACUCUCUUAAUGCCAUAUAAGUUAAGCGCAUGUACUUGCUUAAUCAUCCAUAAUCAAGAACGAACCCCAAUUUGUUUAUUUAUUUAUUAUUAUUUAAAUUAAUUAAAUCCGAAAAUAUCAUGUUAAAAGAAAUCCAACAGCCUCUGUAUCUGUUUCCCUGUUUCGUUGUCUGUUGGCUUCCUUUAGCGCAGCUUAGCUUACCCGUUGAAGUUUGAACCUUUCCUUCUCUCUCUGCGACAUCAUGAUGAUGCUUGGAGCUCAAUUCCAAGUCCCCGCACUAGAUGCUUUCAGGGUUUCAAGGGCAAGUGAUGGUGGAGGAGGUUUGAUCCCGAAUUCUGGUAGGUGCUUGUCGAUUCAAUUCGGUUUCAAAAGAAGCCUAAAGUUACAGUGUCGCGGUGGACGUAAAUCAAUCCUCAUCUCCUGCAACUCUUCUCGUGGAAGCUCCUCCGAUGGUGGUGGCCAAUCUACCAAUGCCCAUGAUGACCACGAUCACGACUUUCUCCAAGCUUCCCUUCUCAUUUCAGAAACUCGCAUACACUACCUUAUGCGGAGACAAGGAUUUCAAGAAGAGAUGAGAUGGCGAUUACCUGGUAGAUGGAACCCAUUUGCUGUCCUUUCAAAGGAAUCAAGACCCGAUAUGAGUUUUAUAGGACAUGAGUUUCUUGGUCGCUUCCAAAAUCCCACUAUUUUUCUUAAAGUUUCUUGUGAUGGAGACUUCUUGCUGCCAAUUAUUGUUGGGGAAUUUGCUAUUGAGAAACUUGUAGAUAACAUUCUAGAAGGAGAUGAUAAUGGGGACUGUCCAGACCAGUUUCAGCUUGUGAAAAAUCUGGUGGAAAGAAUUGGUUAUGAAAUAAAAAUGGUGAGAAUUACACAGAGAGUGGUUAACACUUAUUUUGCAAGGGUGUAUUUUAGCAAGCCAGGAGAAAAUGAAAUUCUAAGUGUAGAUGCACGGCCGUCUGAUGCCAUUAAUGUGGCAAACAGAUGCAAGGCCCCAAUUCUUGUAAGUAAACAAAUUGUCUUCACAGACGCUAUCAGAAUUAGCUAUGGGAUUGGAGAUAGGAAGCCAACUUAUGAUAUAUCCCUUGACAGGUAUUGAACUUGCUUUAUUUUUUAAGCUUCCAAUGUUUGUGUCGCUUUCUUGUGAUUCUAAGUAAGAGUUAAGUUCUGUCCAGUCCUGCUGAUGGUCCAGAUUCACUAUCUGAGGAACUUGAUAUUGUGAAGAAUAUGAAUUUAGCUGUUAAAGAGGAAAGAUAUGGUGAUGCAGGUACCUUCUGGAAAAGAAAAAUAUUUUUCCCAUUACAUUUAUAUUUCUUUCAUCAUUUAAAUAUUUGCAUAUUUCCACUUCGCUUUGGUGACAGAGUCAAUGCUCUUGAUUGUUAGAAUAGUUUUAAAUUGACUGCUGAUUCUUGUAGCCAUGUGGAGAGACAAACUGAUGGAGCUUCGCCAGUCAAGACACGAAGAGUAGCCAACUUUUUGGACUUGAUCUAUCUGGAGUUACCACUUCCUGGCGUGUGGUUUCCGGCCGAGUUUCAUGGCUGUCCUCUUUGUGCUCAUUCUAGACAUAGUUUCCAAUAAAAUGUUUGGCAUAGCAUUUUAUAUAUCGUGCAAAUGAAAAGGACAGUCUGAGGAACUCAUGAAUGGUUAAAGAAACUCAAAAUAGUGGUACGUGAAGCUCAAAACUUGCUUUGAGAACUGAGAUACCUGAUUAUUUAAAUUUACAUUUGGUGGUCCCUUGAAUUGUUCAAAAUCACAAAGAUGAUCAAUUCUCUCAUGGAUGUGGAUUUUGUUGUUUCAAUUAGAAUGUAAAUGAUGCACGUCAAGAUAUGGAAAUGAUGCUUAUCAAGAAAGAAUGUAUUAAGUUCCUUGUUAAUUCUGGUGACACUGAAGCCAGAAACUUCUUUGUUUAGAAGUCUUUCCACGAUGAAGGAUGUGAAUGUGAAUCCCAGCUAGUACACUAUGACGAGUUUCCAGCUCUCCAUUAGGUUUUCUUUAUUUUCCUACUUUGUCAGGACAAAUAAAAGUGAUGAGAGCUACCAUUGUCAUUCUGAUGUUUGCUGGCAGCUGACAUUCUCCAUCAAAAGAGUCAUGAAAAAGGGAACAGAAGCCUCUGUAGUUUGACAAAAAAAUGUCAAGAAAGUUACUGCGCCUUGAAUUUGUCAUCAAGAUUUAAUACUUACUGAUUAACCUGCAAUUUGUUAUGCAAAGAUUUUUGGAUGUGUUUUAGCAUGCUUGAAAUGUUAAUAUACUUGUGUAUAUAGAGAACAUUUUCUUGUUUGAAAGCAUUAUAUUAUCUAUAUUCAUCUUAGCUCAUUCCUUGUUUG